GGGUACACGAGUGGCGAACGGGUGAGUAACACGUGGGCAAUCUGCCCUGCACUUUGGGAUAAGCCUGGGAAACUGGGUCUAAUACCGAAUAUGACCUUUAGACACAUGUUUAUUGGUUGAAAGUUUUUCGGUGCAGGAUGAGCCCGCGGCCUAUCAGCUUGUUGGUGGGGUAAUGGCCUACCAAGGCAACGACGGGUAGCCGGCCUGAGAGGGUGAACGGCCACACUGGGACUGAGAUACGGCCCAG
This 247-nucleotide ribosomal RNA is filed under the name uncultured bacterium. RNAcentral describes it as "partial 16S ribosomal RNA". It matches the Rfam family "Bacterial small subunit ribosomal RNA", at positions 85 to 334 of the family's 1533-position model. The record is from RNAcentral.